UACCCAGAAUGCAAUUGCUGUAGCACGCACACCCACACAGCCACGUAAACACAGGCCUCCGAUGUGUGAAUGAAAUCGCUGGGAUGUGACAGACGCAAACAAUGUGGCGCUUUCAUUCGGGGAAACAUCUUCUGUGAAAGAAAACCCGUCUUCGUUUGCACCCUCUUCAUACCGCAGGCAAGGCCGACCUAUCAUGAGCUAAAAAUCACAUUGGCAUUUCCGGUUUCACCAGCAGGCUUACGAGUGGAUGAAUUUUGAAAGCUGUUAAAGUGAGAUUGCCUGUAAUUCUUUUGAAGAUGUCCAU
This is a long non-coding RNA of Polyodon spathula (Mississippi paddlefish), 304 nucleotides long. RefSeq lists it as uncharacterized. The record is from RefSeq and is a predicted model, not a curated record. The transcript has 3 exons. Lineage: Eukaryota; Metazoa; Chordata; Actinopteri; Acipenseriformes; Polyodontidae.